AUCCAGCUGAUGAGUCCCAAAUAGGAUGAAACGCACAUCAAACCGGAU
This 48-nucleotide non-coding RNA is filed under the name Schistosoma mansoni. The record is from RNAcentral. Lineage: Eukaryota; Metazoa; Platyhelminthes; Trematoda; Strigeidida; Schistosomatidae.